AAAGCUUUAAGUUAUUUAAACUAUUAACCUUCAAAGUUAAAAAUAAACACCAUUAAGCUUUA
RNAcentral lists this transfer RNA (62 nucleotides) under Narceus annularis. Its description in RNAcentral is "Narceus annularus tRNA-Trp". The record is from RNAcentral. Lineage: Eukaryota; Metazoa; Arthropoda; Diplopoda; Spirobolida; Spirobolidae.